UACGGGGGGAGCAAGCGUUGUUCGGAUUUACUGGGCGUAAAGGGCGCGUAGGCGGCCACCGCAAGUCGACUGUGAAAUCUCCGGGCUUAACCCGGAAAGGUCAGCCGAUACUGCGGGGCUAGAGUGCAGAAGGGGCAACUGGAAUUCUCGGUGUAGCGGUGAAAUGCGUAGAUAUCGGGAGGAACACCAGUGGCGAAGGCGGCUUCCUGGACCGGUUCUGACACUGAGGAGCGAAAGCGUGGGGAGCGAUCCGG
RNAcentral lists this ribosomal RNA (254 nucleotides) under uncultured bacterium. RNAcentral's name for it is "partial 16S ribosomal RNA". It matches the Rfam family "Bacterial small subunit ribosomal RNA", at positions 524 to 776 of the family's 1533-position model. The record is from RNAcentral.